Long non-coding RNA from Sander lucioperca (pikeperch), 114 nucleotides. RefSeq lists it as uncharacterized. The transcript is spliced from 3 exons. The record is from RefSeq and is a predicted model, not a curated record. Lineage: Eukaryota; Metazoa; Chordata; Actinopteri; Perciformes; Percidae.
AUAGGCGGCAAAAGCUUUUUUCACUGGCAACUGUCACCGUCCUCAGCCUAACGUUACGUUAGCUACGUCUAUUAGACGAACGCCGCCAUCUUGCUUGCUGAAAGUGAACAUGCA